UCAGGGUGUGCUUAAGAAAACCCAGAUUUGCAUGAAGACACCCCCCUCCCUCCCCAGCCCCAUCUCAGGCUCACAGGGAGAGGAUAAGAGGGGCCUGGCAGAGCCCGGACCCAGCUGGUUCUCUCUGGGGAGCAGAGCUCUCAGGGUCUCCUGCACCAUGGCCUGGCUUCUUGUCUGCCUCCUCCUGCUCACCUGCUGCUCAGGUUCCUUCCCCCAGCCUGUGCUGACUCAGGCUCCCUCCAUGUAUGUGUCCUUGGGAGCCACGGCCAGACUCUCCUGCACCCUCAGCAGUCAGCACAGUGAUUAUGGAAUUGCAUGGCACCAGCAGAGCCCAAGAAAGGCCCCUCGGUACCUCAUGUAUGUCAGCAGCAGUGGAAGUGCAGGCAAGGGCCAGGGGGUCCCUGACCGCUUCUCGUGCUCCAGCUCUGGGGCUCAUCGCUACUUGUCCAUCAGCAGCCUCCAGCCUGAGGACGGGGCCCAUUACUACUGCAGGGCACCUUAUGGUAGUAAUAAUAACUAUGGUUACCACAGUGCUACAUUCAGUGAGAAAGUGGGACAAAAACCUCCCUGCCAGCCCUGAUGUGGCCCAGGGUCUGACAACAGCCCAGGCUGCCAGGUGACAAGAAUAAGUAGUACCUUUUCUCUCUGUUUCCUCUUCUCCCACACUUUUUCUUUCUUCCUCUUUCUGUCUCUGCCUCUAUAUCUAGA
This is a non-coding RNA of Sarcophilus harrisii (Tasmanian devil), 708 nucleotides long. The record is from the annotation of a RefSeq genome assembly. NCBI's taxonomy places the organism in Eukaryota, Metazoa, Chordata, Mammalia, Dasyuromorphia, Dasyuridae.